UUUUUCUUAAAGACGGCACUUUAUUCAGCGUGCCUUGCCUCACCAUAUACUUUGUUUUAAUUCCCAUACAAGACAAGUCGGAUCACAACCGCCGUAACCUGUCCGUUCUGCACAAGUUAAGCAAGCAAAUUACUUGUACCGAUUCUCGAAUGAGCAAGAGACCUCAUCGGACAAUCUUGUUGUAUAUGAUAUGGAUUGCCAUCGUCCUGUUAAAGAGGAGAUAAUGAAUCGCCCUCUCUCGAUCUCUGUCUCUUUAUUUAAUGUUGGAAUGAAAAUCAGGUGCGAUCUGGAUUUGAGGAGGAUUGAUGUCACCAGCGAGGAGGAGAAAAGGCCAAUCGGCAUGCAUGAAAAACGCUACUGAAUAUGGAGGGACCAUGAAAAGGAGGAGAUUAUUCUCCUUUUCCCUGUACUCCUCCAUCCCCUCGUCAUAUCUUCUUUCCUUUUGUACGUGCCUCCGAUCAAUCAAAGAAAUUCGCCGGCCUCAUGCCCCACCGGUCUAGUGCUCACCCCACUCCCCGC
Molecule: long non-coding RNA, 519 nt
Filed under: Phoenix dactylifera (date palm)
Lineage: Eukaryota; Viridiplantae; Streptophyta; Magnoliopsida; Arecales; Arecaceae
Description: long non-coding RNA (PDAC_LNC006210)
Source: RNAcentral